GCAUAUCAAUAAGCGGAGGAAAAGAAACCAACAGGGGAUUGCCCUAGUAACGGCGAGUGCAAGCGGCAACAGCUCAAAUUUGAAAUCUGGCUCUUUUAGAGUCCGAGUUGUAAUUUGCAGAGGGCGCUUUGGCUUUGGCAGCGGUCCAAGUUCCUUGGAACAGGACGUCACAGAGGGUGAGAAUCCCGUACGUGGUCGCUAGCUAUUGCCGUGUAAAGCCCCUUCGACGAGUCGAGUUGUUUGGGAAUGCAGCUCUAAAUGGGAGGUAAAUUUCUUCUAAAGCUAAAUACUGGCCAGAGACCGAUAGCGCACAAGUAGAGUGAUCGAAAGAUGAAAAGCACUUUGGAAAGAGAGUCAAACAGCACGUGAAAUUGUUGAAAGGGAAGCGCUUGCAGCCAGACUUGCUUGCAGUUGCUCAUCCGGGCUCUUUUGCCCGGUGCAUUCUUCUGCAGGCAGGCCAGCAUCAGUUUGGGCGGUGGGAUAAAGGUCUCUGUCACGUACCUCUCUUCGGGGAGGCCUUAUAGGGGAGACGACAUACCACCAGCCUGGACUGAGGUCCGCGCAUUUAUGCUAGGAUGCUGGCGUAAUGGCUGUAAGCGGCCCGUCUUGAAACACGGACCAAGGAGUCUAACAUCUAUGCGAGUGUUUGGGUGUCAAGCCCGAACGCGUAAUGAAAGUGAACGGAGGUGGGAACCCGCAAGGGUGCACCAUCGACCGAUCCUGAUGUCUUCGGAAGGAUUUGAGUAAGAGCAUGGCUGUUGGGACCCGAAAGAUGGUGAACUAUGCUUGAAUAGGGUGAAGCCAGAGGAAACUCUGGUGGAGGCUCGCAGCGGUUCUGACGUGCAAAUCGAUCGUCAAAUUUGGGCAUAGGGGCGAAAGACUAAUCGAACUAUCUAGUAGCUGGGUUCCUGCCGAG
RNAcentral lists this ribosomal RNA (916 nucleotides) under Pyrenophora teres. Its description in RNAcentral is "LSU rRNA". It matches the Rfam family "Eukaryotic large subunit ribosomal RNA", at positions 38 to 965 of the family's 3401-position model. Lineage: Eukaryota; Fungi; Ascomycota; Dothideomycetes; Pleosporales; Pleosporaceae. The record is from RNAcentral.